RNAcentral lists this ribosomal RNA (229 nucleotides) under uncultured bacterium. RNAcentral's name for it is "partial 16S ribosomal RNA". It matches the Rfam family "Bacterial small subunit ribosomal RNA", at positions 568 to 796 of the family's 1533-position model. The record is from RNAcentral.
CGCGUAGGCGGUCUCUUAAGUCAGAUGUGAAAGCCCGGGGCUUAACCUCGGAAGUGCAUUUGAAACUAAGGGACUUGAGUAUGGGAGAGGGAAGUGGAAUUCCUGGUGUAGCGGUGAAAUGCGUAGAUAUCAGAAGGAACACCGGUGGCGAAGGCGACUUCCUGGACCAAUACUGACGCUGAGGCGCGAAGGCGUGGGGAGCAAACAGGAUUAGAUACCCGAGUAGUCC